UUCAAAACACCAAAUAAAUGGCCAAGAGAUUUAUCCUAGGUCAAACAAGGUCAAAGGACCUUAGACAAAAAAUUUCAUGAUUUUUGAAAAAUCAGAAGUAUUUUUAAACAAUUAAAAAUAUGCACAAAAACAUUUAAUUCAUGAAAAAUAUCAAAAUUAACCCAAAAAAUAAUUUUAAUUCAAAAAAUGAAAGAUAAAAAUAUUU
RNAcentral lists this long non-coding RNA (205 nucleotides) under Lathyrus oleraceus (garden pea). RNAcentral's name for it is "Pisum sativum (pea) long non-coding RNA (PSAT_LNC019910)". The record is from RNAcentral. Lineage: Eukaryota; Viridiplantae; Streptophyta; Magnoliopsida; Fabales; Fabaceae.